GACGAACGCUGGCGGCGUGCUUAACACAUGCAAGUCGUACGGUAAGGCCCUUUCGGGGGUACACGAGUGGCGAACGGGUGAGUAACACGUGAGUAACCUGCCCACAACUUUGGGAUAACGCUAGGAAACUGGUGCUAAUACUGGAUAUGUGCUCCUGCUGCAUGGUGGGGGUCGGAAAGCUCCGGCGGUUGUGGAUGGACUCGCGGCCUAUCAGCUUGUUGGUGGGGUAGUGGCCUACCAAGGCGGCGACGGGUAGCCGGCCUGAGAGGGUGACCGGCCACAUUGGGACUGAGAUACGGCCCAGACUCCUACGGGAGGCAGCAGUGGGGAAUAUUGCACAAUGGGCGCAAGCCUGAUGCAGCAACGCCGCGUGCGGGAUGACGGCCUUCGGGUUGUAAACCGCUUUCAGCAGGGACGAAGCUUUUUGUGACGGUACCUGCAGAAGAAGCACCGGCUAACUACGUG
RNAcentral lists this ribosomal RNA (465 nucleotides) under uncultured bacterium. Its description in RNAcentral is "partial 16S ribosomal RNA". It matches the Rfam family "Bacterial small subunit ribosomal RNA", at positions 28 to 507 of the family's 1533-position model. The record is from RNAcentral.